AUGACUUACCUCUCCAUCAUUAAUGCUACAGCUGACAUCAAUAUCUUGCAGCUGGGGAAGGUAGGACAACUUCCUCAGGAGAGUCUGAAUGUCUUGCUCGAAACCCACCUGCCAGAGCUUACACCUGAGCAUCCCACAUCUCACUGGAAGCAGAAAGGUCCAUGCUGGCUGGUUCAAUCAAGUUUGCUGAGGAAAGAUCCAACACAGGGUGAAGAGUUCAGCUGGACCUCAGAAAUAUCCAGGGAGAAGACACUCCUGAAGGUCUUGGAAAACAGAAUUUCCUCAAAAUGGAGGAAACUGUCUCUGUUUCAGGAGAGAGUCAAUGGAUCUGUCAGGGCAGCAGUGGGAAGGAGGUCCCUCCAAACCAUCAUCCUGUCAUGUAAUUUUUUCACCUGCUUCACGGGCUCUUCAUUUUUUCAUCUCCUACCAUCAGUACCAAGCAUGAAAUAUGUGGCUUUUAGGAGAGUCUCUGAACUCAAGAGCUCCUGUUAUGGAAACAGGGAAAUUAAGACAAUUAAAGAACGCAACCACCAGGCAAGAAAUUUACAGUGA
Molecule: long non-coding RNA, 552 nt
Filed under: Anas platyrhynchos platyrhynchos (common mallard)
Lineage: Eukaryota; Metazoa; Chordata; Aves; Anseriformes; Anatidae
Description: lncRNA (ENSAPLG00000030178.1)
Source: RNAcentral